This 253-nucleotide ribosomal RNA is filed under the name uncultured bacterium. RNAcentral's name for it is "partial 16S ribosomal RNA". It matches the Rfam family "Bacterial small subunit ribosomal RNA", at positions 524 to 776 of the family's 1533-position model. The record is from RNAcentral.
GACGUAGGGGGCGAGCGUUGUCCGGAUUUAUUGGGCGUAAAGCGUGCGUAGGCGGCUGCGCAAGUCGGUUGUGAAACCCCGGGGCUCAACCCCGGAACUGCAUCCGAUACUGCGUGGCUAGAGGUAGGUAGGGGAGAUCGGAAUUCCUGGUGUAGCGGUGAAAUGCGCAGAUAUCAGGAGGAACACCGGUGGCGAAGGCGGCUCUCUGGAACGCAACUGACGCUGAGACGCGAAAGCGUGGGGAGCAAACAGG